Molecule: long non-coding RNA, 344 nt
Filed under: Callithrix jacchus (white-tufted-ear marmoset)
Lineage: Eukaryota; Metazoa; Chordata; Mammalia; Primates; Cebidae
Description: lncRNA (ENSCJAG00000067388.2)
Source: RNAcentral
CUGGACCUAAAAGGAAAAAGCAAACACGUUUCAGGCUUCAAACAGGCGUAUACACUGUGUCUCCACAAACCCAGUCACGUUAUUUUCCUGAAUAGAUGAAGAUCAGCUUACGCCCAGAGACAGACACAGACUGUGAAUGUUCAAAACAAUCCAUCCCCGAGGUCAGUGUGAAGUUCUUUGCCAGCCUGGGGACCUCUUUCCAUCUCACUGAGGAAUGAGGAACAGAAUCUGGUCUUCGGUACUGCACAAAUUCUCCACAUAUCAAGGAGACAUCUACCAUUGAAGGAGAUUUUGAUAUGUAAACUGAAGGUUAACAUGAAAUACAAGGUACAUUAUUAAUUCUU